This 909-nucleotide ribosomal RNA is filed under the name uncultured bacterium. Its description in RNAcentral is "bacterial SSU rRNA". It matches the Rfam family "Bacterial small subunit ribosomal RNA", at positions 8 to 916 of the family's 1533-position model. The record is from RNAcentral.
AGAGUUUGAUCCUGGCUCAGGAUGAACGCUAGCGGCAGGCCUAAUACAUGCAAGACGAACGGUAAGAUUUGUAGCAAUACGGAUCCUAGAGUAGCGUAAGGGUGCGUAACACGUAUGCAAUCUACCCACAACAGGAGGAUAGCUCUUCGAAAGGGGAAUUAAGACUCCAUAAGACCACGAGAGGGCAUCUGAUAGUGGUUAAACUACAAGGGGUUGUGGAUGAGCAUGCGUCUGAUUAGUUAGUUGGCGGGGUAACGGCCCACCAAGACGAUGAUCAGUAGGGGAACUGAGAGGUUGGUCCCCCACACUGGCACUGAGAUACGGGCCAGACUCCUACGGGAGGCAGCAGUAGGGAAUAUUGGACAAUGGGUGCAGGCCUGAUCCAGCCAUGCCGCGUGCAGGAAGAAAGCCUUCUGGGUUGUAAACUGCUUUUUUCAGGGGAUAAAAGGCCCGUGCGCGGGACAUUGAAAGUACCUGGAGAAUAAGCCACGGCUAACUACGUGCCAGCAGCCGCGGUAAUACGUAGGUGGCGAGCGUUGUCCGGAUUUAUUGGGUUUAAAGGGUGCGUAGGCGGCUCAUUAAGUCAGUUGUGAAAUACGACAGCUUAACUGUCGAGGUGCAAUUGAUACUGGUGAGCUUGAGUACUGAUGAGGUAGGCGGAAUGGACGGUGUAGCGGUGAAAUGCUUAGAGAUCGUCCAGAACACCGAUAGCGAAGGCAGCUUACUAAGGAGUAACUGACGCUGAGGCACGAAAGUGUGGGGAUCAAACAGGAUUAGAUACCCUGGUAGUCCACACUGUAAACGAUGAUUACUCGAUGUUGGCGAUACACAGCCAGCGUCUUAGCAAAAGCGAUAAGUAAUCCACCUGGGGAGUACGCCGGCAACGGUGAAACUCAAAGGAAUUGACGG